UACGUAGGGCGCAAGCGUUAUCCGGAAUGAUUGGGCGUAAAGAGCUCGUAGGCGGUUUGUCGCGUCUGCUGUGAAAGACCGGGGCUCAACUCCGGUUCUGCAGUGGGUACGGGCAGACUAGAGUGCAGUAGGGGAGACUGGAAUUCCUGGUGUAGCGGUGAAAUGCGCAGAUAUCAGGAGGAACACCGAUGGCGAAGGCAGGUCUCUGGGCUGUAACUGACGCUGAGGAGCGAAAGCAUGGGGAGCGAACAGG
This 253-nucleotide ribosomal RNA is filed under the name uncultured bacterium. RNAcentral's name for it is "partial 16S ribosomal RNA". It matches the Rfam family "Bacterial small subunit ribosomal RNA", at positions 524 to 776 of the family's 1533-position model. The record is from RNAcentral.